This 388-nucleotide ribosomal RNA is filed under the name uncultured bacterium. RNAcentral's name for it is "bacterial SSU rRNA". It matches the Rfam family "Bacterial small subunit ribosomal RNA", at positions 28 to 417 of the family's 1533-position model. The record is from RNAcentral.
GACGAACGCUGGCGGCGUGCUUAACACAUGCAAGUCGAGCGGUAAGGCCCUUUCGGGGGUACGACGAGCGGCGAACGGGUGAGUAACACGUGGGUGACCUGCCCUUAGCUCUGGGAUAAGCCUGGGAAACUGGGUCUGAUACCGGAUAUGACUCCAUGACGCAUGUUGUGGGGUGGAAAGCCUUGUGCGGCUAGGGAUGGGCCCGCGGCCUAUCAGCUUGUUGGUGGGGUGAUGGCCACCAAGGCGACGACGGGUAGCCGGCCUGAGAGGGCGACCGGCCACACUGGGACUGAGACACGGCCCAGACUCCUACGGGAGGCAGCAGUGGGGAAUCUUGCGCAAUGGGCGAAAGCCUGACGCAGCGACGCCGCGUGAGGGAUGACGGCCU